GAUGAAGAACGCAGCGAAAUGCGAUAAGUAAUGUGAAUUGCAGAAUUCAGUGAAUCAUCGAGUCUUUGAACGCACAUUGCGCCCCCUGGUAUUCCGGGGGGCAUGCCUGUCCGAGCGUCAUUGCUGCCCUCAAGCACGGCUUGUGUGUUGGGCCCCCGCCCCCCGGCUUCGGGGGGCGGGCCCGAAAGGCAGCGGCGGCACCGCGUCCGGUCCUCGAGCGUAUGGGGCUUCGUCACCCGCUCAUGGAGGCCCGGCCGGCCCCGGCCAACCCCCAAUCGAGGACUCGUUCCUCCACCAAGGUUGACCUCGGAUCAGGUAGGGAUACCCGCUGAACUUAAGCAUAUCAAUAAGCGGAGGA
This 358-nucleotide unclassified non-coding RNA is filed under the name soil metagenome. RNAcentral's name for it is "partial contains 5.8S ribosomal RNA, internal transcribed spacer 2, and large subunit ribosomal RNA". The stretch from base 1 to 120 matches the Rfam family "5.8S ribosomal RNA", at positions 35 to 154 of the family's 154-position model. The record is from RNAcentral.